RNAcentral lists this ribosomal RNA (446 nucleotides) under uncultured Leptolinea sp. RNAcentral's name for it is "bacterial SSU rRNA". It matches the Rfam family "Bacterial small subunit ribosomal RNA", at positions 923 to 1382 of the family's 1533-position model. Lineage: Bacteria; Bacillati; Chloroflexota; Anaerolineae; Anaerolineales; Anaerolineaceae. The record is from RNAcentral.
GCACAAGCAGCGGAGCGUGUGGUUUAAUUCGAUGUUACACGAAGAACCUUACCAGGGUUUGACAUGCAAGUGGUAGGAAGCCGAAAGGUGACCGACCCUUCGGGGAGCUUGCACAGGUGCUGCAUGGCUGUCGUCAGCUCGUGUCGUGAGAUGUUCGGUUAGGUCCGCUAACGAGCGCAACCCUCGCUGUGUGUUAUAUGUGUCACACGGGACUGCCGGUCUUAAGCCGGAGGAAGGUGGGGAUGAUGUCAAGUCAGCAUGGCCUUUAUAUCCUGGGCUACACACACGCUACAAUGGCCAACACAAUAGGUUGCUAAGCCGCGAGGUGGCGCCAAUCCAUAAAGUUGGUCUCAGUUCAGAUUGUAGGCUGCAACCCGCCUGCAUGAAGAUGGAGUUGCUAGUAACCGCAGGUCAGCUAUACUGCGGUGAAUACGUUCCCGGGGCUU